This 253-nucleotide ribosomal RNA is filed under the name uncultured bacterium. RNAcentral's name for it is "partial 16S ribosomal RNA". It matches the Rfam family "Bacterial small subunit ribosomal RNA", at positions 524 to 776 of the family's 1533-position model. The record is from RNAcentral.
UACAGAGGGGGCAAGCGUUGUUCGGAAUUACUGGGCGUAAAGGGCGCGUAGGCGGCCUUCUAAGUCGAACGUGAAAUCCCUGGGCUCAACCCAGGAACUGCGUCCGAUACUGGAAGGCUCGAAUCCGGGAGAGGGAUGUGGAAUUCCAGGUGUAGCGGUGAAAUGCGUAGAUAUCUGGAGGAACACCGGUGGCGAAGGCGGCAUCCUGGACCGGUAUUGACGCUGAGGCGCGAAAGCCAGGGGAGCAAACGGG